RNAcentral lists this long non-coding RNA (644 nucleotides) under Gossypium barbadense (sea-island cotton). Its description in RNAcentral is "long non-coding RNA (GBAR_LNC000866)". The record is from RNAcentral. Lineage: Eukaryota; Viridiplantae; Streptophyta; Magnoliopsida; Malvales; Malvaceae.
GAUUGGGCAAUUCUGUUGCUACUUCUUCAGCAAGCCAUUAAUGCAGCCUGUUGUUUAAUUUGCAGAGCCUACUAUUCGCUGGUCAAGUGCAUAAAGAAGGCAGCAUCAUGCAAAAUGGAGAUACCAUGCCAUGUUACCAAGUAAACGCAGAUCCAAAGGUGAUUAUCUAAGCACCCAUGCCUUAUUUUUUCUUGCUGGUUUCAAUCGUGAUUUGAACCUUCAACUAAUUAGAAGAACAUAUAUUUUUGUUCCAUUACAGUGAGUUUAACAUGAUUCAUUUGUGUAAUUUUGUAAUUGUAUUCUUGGAAAAAUGUCAGGACACUUAUUGUGCGUUUAAAAUGAUUCAUUUGUGUAAUUUCUUUCCUGAUUGGUGGUGUGAAUGCACAUGCUCAUGGUUAUGGUAAUAAAUUUUGAUUAUCUAAGCACCCAUGCCUUAUUUUUUCUUGCUGGUUUCAAUCGUGAUUUGAACCUUCAACUAAUUAGAAGAACAUAUAUUUUUGUUCCAUUACAGUGAGUUUAACAUGAUUCAUUUGUGUAAUUUUGUAAUUGUAUUCUUGGAAAAAUGUCAGGACACUUAUUGUGCGUUUAAAAUGAUUCAUUUGUGUAAUUUCUUUCCUGAUUGGUGGUGUGAAUGCACAUGCUCA